GUGAGUCAUCGAAUCUUUGAACGCAUAUUGCGCUCGAGGCCUCGGCUAAGAGCAUGUCUGCCUCAGCGUCGGGUUAUAUCUCAUCUCAAUCUUAACCGGUUGAUAUGGAUCUGGCCGUUCCAGUUCAGUGGGGGUACAGAGUGUGCUUGUUCGCUCAAGGGCUCUCUUAUCUAUUGACACCCUGGAUCGGCUGAAGCAUAGAAGCUAUAAUCAGGACCCGCUUGCGGGCCACAAUUGGGUAGUGGGCUUGGUCAAUGGCUUGCCGUUGGCUGUGUCGACAAUGCACAAUUGUUGGCCUGG
This 300-nucleotide unclassified non-coding RNA is filed under the name uncultured fungus. RNAcentral's name for it is "sequence contains 5.8S rRNA gene, ITS2". The stretch from base 1 to 71 matches the Rfam family "5.8S ribosomal RNA", at positions 84 to 154 of the family's 154-position model. Lineage: Eukaryota; Fungi. The record is from RNAcentral.